RNAcentral lists this ribosomal RNA (253 nucleotides) under uncultured bacterium. Its description in RNAcentral is "partial 16S ribosomal RNA". It matches the Rfam family "Bacterial small subunit ribosomal RNA", at positions 524 to 776 of the family's 1533-position model. The record is from RNAcentral.
UACGUAGGGUGCAAGCGUUAAUCGGAAUUACUGGGCGUAAAGCGUGCGCAGGCGGUUUUGUAAGUUUGUCGUGAAAGCCCCGGGCUCAACCUGGGAAUUGCGAUGAGGACUGCAAGGCUUGAAUCUGGCAGAGGGGGGUAGAAUUCCACGUGUAGCAGUGAAAUGCGUAGAGAUGUGGAGGAACACCGAUGGCGAAGGCAGCCCCCUGGGUCAAGAUUGACGCUCAUGCACGAAAGCGUGGGGAGCAAACAGG